AUUGAACGCUGGCGGCAUGCCUUACACAUGCAAGUCGAACGGCAGCGGGGGAGAAGCUUGCUUUUCCUGCCGGCGAGUGGCGAACGGGUGAGUAAUACAUCGGAACGUGCCCUGUAGUGGGGGAUAACUAGUCGAAAGAUUAGCUAAUACCGCAUACGACCUGAGGGUGAAAGUGGGGGACCGCAAGGCCUCAUGCUAUAGGAGCGGCCGAUGUCUGAUUAGCUAGUUGGUGGGGUAAAGGCCUACCAAGGCGACGAUCAGUAGCUGGUCUGAGAUGACGCUCAGCCACACAGGGCGUGAGACGCGGGCCAGACUCCUACGGGGGGCAGCGGUGGGGAAUUUUGGACAAUGGGCGAAAGCCUGAUCCAGCAAUGCAGCGUGUAUGCAGAAGGCCUUCGGGUUGUACAGCACUUUUGUACGGAAAGAACUGGCUCUGGUUAAUACCUGGGGUCGAUGACGGUACCGGAAGAAUAAGGACCGGCUAACUACGUGCCAGCCGCCGCGGUAA
This 508-nucleotide ribosomal RNA is filed under the name uncultured bacterium. Its description in RNAcentral is "partial 16S ribosomal RNA". It matches the Rfam family "Bacterial small subunit ribosomal RNA", at positions 30 to 523 of the family's 1533-position model. The record is from RNAcentral.